UUCGCGUUACAACUUAAGAUGGCGGCCAGGCGGAGAGACUGAAGGUUGCUGUGCUGAGAGCCAGGCCCUAUCUAUGCUGCGAGACUUCUUCAACCCUGUUAAGAUGUAGUAAGGUCAGUUCUGGUUAUAUAGUUUCAUCAAUAGAUGUUGGUUUUUAUGAAUGGGGAGGAAAAACUGCUACCUUAAAAACGAAAUACUACUGUGACGUUCAGGCCCUUAGCUUGCCCACUCUGUGCACGUUCAGGCCCUUCUCUGCACGGAGGCCCUCUAGCUCCAGAGGUCAGCAGGGAUUGAGCUGUAUGGGGUGGGUAUGGCCAGGUUUCGGAGCCAAACCAGUGCACUUGGAACCAUCUUUUGAGGAUGGGAGGUACUUGUAGUGUGGGUGGUGCCUGCAGGGUUAUUAAAGCAAGUGAGUGUUGGUGGCAUGCUUGCAUGAGGGUGGUCUGAAGGAAGAAGCAAGAAAGAAAUGAAAGCUAAAGGUGCCUCCUUGUUCUUCUGAGGCUUAUUAGUAUCAGCUGUUGGGGCUCUGUUAAUUACCCCAUUCUGAAAACCUACAUGGAGUGGGUUGUUACCAUCUGGUUUUAGCUUUUAGUUCUUUUUGCAACUUUACUGAAGAUGGUGCUACUUCAAAGAUUGAAUUUGAAAUCUUACUUGGCUACUAUCUGGGGAAGCUCUUCUCUUUAAUUAGGAGCUGGACGCAAUCUUGGUUUUUUCCCCUCUUUAAAUCCAUAGUCUCAGGGUAGGUAUUUGCCUCCAUUAGCAGAACCCUCCUUGGUGGUAACCAGUCAGUGUUGGUAAACAAGAUGCUGUUCCAGCAGUUUCUCUUCUUGCAGGGGGAGUGACUGGGCUUUGGCAGCCUGUGGCUUGUUUCUUGGCCCCAGGCAGAGCAGAAAGCACAGUUGGGGGUGAAGCAGCUGCCUCUGAGCUUUGGGAAAGGUCAGGACUGGGAGAGCAGAACUCUGACAAACAACUGUGCACUAUAUGCUACUGAAGCUUCUCUACUUGUAUUUAUAAGUCAGCAUAUCCAUAUGCCUCAAUAAUCCAGUGCUCUCUGCCCCUUAAAUAUAUUGUAGAUCUGCCAUUACAUUUUUGCUGUGUUAACUAUAACAUUUAUUUAUAAAGCAAGGAGGUUUAACUUUUAUUGAGAUGUAAACUGCAGAGAUAGUUUAGCUACUUGUUUUUUUUUCCUUUUGGCUGAAACCUGAACUAAAUUGCAGGAAUGGAAUUUGUUAAUUUGUGAGCUGACGAGCGCUCUUAACUUUAAAUAAUAAAACAAAAAAUGGCUGCUAGAAUGCAAGUGCCUUGGA
Molecule: long non-coding RNA, 1307 nt
Organism: Falco peregrinus (peregrine falcon)
Lineage: Eukaryota; Metazoa; Chordata; Aves; Falconiformes; Falconidae
Exons: 2
Source: RefSeq, a predicted model, not a curated record